Molecule: long non-coding RNA, 5671 nt
Organism: Dromaius novaehollandiae (emu)
Lineage: Eukaryota; Metazoa; Chordata; Aves; Casuariiformes; Dromaiidae
Exons: 4
Source: RefSeq, a predicted model, not a curated record
GAGGGCAGGGCUUUGCUGGGUAGCUACACUGGCACAACUGAUGGGCAGCCUGCCUGGGCUACUGCGAACUGAGAGUGGGAGUCAAUUGCUAAUUUGUCUCCUGAGAAACAACUGAUCUCUGAUACUACAGUACAGAAAAAAAAACCUACGGGAGAUACAGCCCAUAUGGUGCGCUCAGUUGGUGCAGUCUACUAUGGGAAAUGUAUGCUAAGCUUCCUGUUCAGAUUGCAUAUUAAGGAGUUUAGCUACCAAAGCUGCAACUGACAUUCCUAGUAAUAAAACCAGUGAGGAGGUUGACUCAAAGAACCUAAACUAAGCUCUUGCUCUGAAUUGCCUUCUGGAGGAGUCUGUAUCUCUCCACUGGCUUUAAAGCAAGCCAAUGGGACUAGAAGGAUGAGUUUCAGACACAGCAAUGAAGAAAGGACACAUGCAAAGAAGAAAGAAUGAGAGACUUUAGAAAGUGUCUCUCAUGAUGAAUAUUUUCAAAACAAACUCAUCUUUUUGGGUACCUCAGUGUCUCAGUGCUUCCUUUUCAUUUUUCUUGAAAGCACCCAGUUUUCAGAGAGCACCUGUGUUCCCAGUACGGUGUCUGAAUGAUGUGUCAAUGCCAAUGGUGCAUCUGCCAUCGCUAGUUACUUUGGAUAGUUUAGGCCUGAAGUGUUUACGCUUCAACAGAAUAUCCAUCUCUUUGUAAGAGCUGGAGAAAGGUAUGAAUCUGAAUAGAUUUUAUUGUUAUCUGAAUGGCUUCCCCCUCCUCAUUAUCACCCUUUCCCCCAGUGUGAGAUUGAAGCUCUGAUGUGGUAAUAUCCAUCCACAUAGAAAUGAAACCUUAAUGUAUUUUAAGAGGAGGUGACUUUUAAUUAUUUGAUGAGGGUACAGUAUUCUGAAUAGGUCUCGAAAGUUUAAAGUCACACGUGGUGUAUUUUUUUCUUUCCAAGGCCUGUACAGCUGGACUCUUGAUGCUACCAGAUAGCUUUACAUUAUGGACAGAAAACAGAAAAAUAGCACCACUUAAUUUUCUAACAGCUCUAAAGUAUUUAUAAACAUCUUUUUUUCCCUUAAAUAUUGAUGGUGUGCCUGCAAUACAAGUUGGUGUUGGUUUGUAUGGCCUGGCAAAUCUAUAAUAAAUCAUUUGAAUGUCAAACAGGAGAAAUUAAAAAAUAUAUGGCUUUUUUUUUAGAGGUGGAUAUAGUAGUCAAAGCAUUUGUCUCCUACUGAAUGUUAAAUGAGUGACAGUAGCUAAAAACACAACCCCUGUUGUCAUAAUGGUCAUCUAGAAACUUGUACUAUCAUAGCAGAUACUGAAGAGUUGGUCUGAUAGGGAUAUAUUCCUCCUGCUGCUUUGAUUUUACUAGAGAAAUACAGACUUUGGAUAUACUGUAUUGUUGCUGUCUUCUAAUUUCAGCCUGUAGCAGCAUCCUCUGUGUGUGUAUAAAUAUUGUUAUCUAGGAUAGAUGUUAAGUAUGCAUUAAUAUUUGUUAAUUCAUACAGUAUUGUACAGUUGUGGUAUUAUGUCUUGCAAUUAGUUGGGCCAUGUUUCAACUCUAAAUCAUUUUCCAAACAAAAAAAUAAUUGAGGGUACUUUAGUUGGAAGUGGAUGAUCAGACUCUUCAAUUAAUUAGCAAAAAAUCAAAGAGAUGGUGGAACAUGUGUUGCUCAGCCACAAGUAACUAUACCAAAUAAGUUCAAAUCAACAAAAAGCUAAUAAGAAAUCACAUAAUUACCUACGAUGUACUCUUGAAAGAUAAGAGGAGUAUAAAGUACCUACUACUUCCAAAACAGGGAACUGAAACAGUGGAAGGUAUUUGAAUAUUUCAGUGUAGUUUUUCAUCAGCAGUCAAACAUCAUCUACAUGGACAUGAGGCCAAAGUAAAAAGUUUCAUAAGAAUAUGCAUAUUAGUUAGUUCAAAUAAGGCAUUUCCUGUUAGCCCUCCUCUUGCACAAAAAUCAAGUUGACCAAAGUAGCAUCCAAAUGGAGGUGGUGCUUAAGUGCUUUUUUGCAUGUAGAGGGAUAUGAAGGGAAGUGUAGUCAUGUCCAGACUGGUGGCAAUAUGCUAAAUUUGUUGAAUGUCAAAACUGACAGCAUCUUCUGAGAAAACUAGAGCCUUACCACAGGGAUAAAGCUCCAGGGUCAUCUGUAUGGAGAACAAAGGAAGGAGCAUGGUCUGACAAAGAAUAAGCUGGCAAAGCUUUCAGGGAAUAAGCAAUGAUCACCUGCAUUUUAACAAACUGUCUAUCCACUCAUAAAAAAUCUCUCUCAUUUUUAUUUGGCUGAUUAACAGCAGUACAUCAAUAGCUCUAAGUCCAAAAUAUAAAAUGCAGAUCUAGCUCCUAUCUGAAUGUCCUAUCCAAUGCAAUAGCCAAGUGGGGAGACAAAAUUUCCACUGAAGCACGGGGGAUAGCAAGAAGAAAUGCACCUCUGCUUCACUACAUUACCAAUAGUGUGCCCCAUUGCCUAUAAAGAUUCCUGCUGUGGUUAAGUAUCUCUGGUUUUGAAACUCUUAUCAGAAACAAUCUUUUGAAAUCUGAAAAACAUGACAGAGAGUAAAAUUAAUUAUAUACACAUGUUAUUUUUUUCCCUCAAGGGUCUCUAACAGACAACAUUUUUGGAGCAGAAGAAAAAUGUUUUUGUUUCCAUGGCAACAAUAUCUACUCUUUUCCUUUCUGUCACAAAGCAUAGUUUCUCAGCAUAUUUAGGAAAAUUGAAGUGUGGGUAACUCAGAAUGAUAAAGCCAAGUGCAGUAAAUUUUCUUCUGAAUAAAUAUUUGUAUUUGGUCUUGUAUCCAUUGGCUCUGAAAAUUUUCAAGGUCAGGGUAUUUGUUUGCAGUGCUGAUGGUGUUCCCAUUAAACACUUACGGCUGUUCACAAUGAGAAGUCUUAUUUAGACGUGUCUCAAAUGUUGCUGAUGCUACCCUAAAAUAAUUGAAAUAAUUAAAACAGGAAGCAGCACCAUGUAGCAUCUUCCAGAAUGGCAAAGUAUGCAGCUGCAGCACAGCAGGGCUCAGGACUAACCGGUGUAUACAGAUACAAGAAUAAAUGAUGGAAGAGUCAGGUCAUUAAUUUAUAAGCUACAUGAGGGUCUCUCUCUUCUUCUGGGCAACGCUAAGUGGGCUGUCAAAGUUCAGCAACAGCCGGUUAACACAGAAAAGAGUUGAACUGAUCUGUUAGGGCUCUGCUUUCUUCUUUUCAGUUUCUUCUCAGCACAAACCUCUUGGCUAUAGAGUCGAUCUCUUUCUUGUCUGUUGGAGUUGUUUCUCUCUGAAUAAUUCUUCGCAUUCACCAGUACAGACUUUUGAGUCUUUGCUUCAGAAAUAUUUAUUUAUAGAAAACGAAAGGGUUUCAACAAAAGAAAUUGAGACCCAUGCUAGAAUAUACACUAUGGUAGUACUUGGCUGCAUAAAGCUGUAUGUAGUUGCUCAGCCUCAGCUUCAAAACAGAAUUCAAGUGUUUUUAUUGGACUCAUUCCAACCUGGAGCAAAAUAUGGUGUUUUUAUUGUUUUGAUGGAAAAAACCCUCUCAGUUAUCAAAUUUAAAAUAUUCCUUGCAGGAACUGCUGUUCACUGACAGAAAAUUCUCCAGUAGUUCUUUUUGUAACUUUGAUAAAGUGGCUUGAAUAGGCAGACUGUAAACUAUUGAAAGGGCUAAAACUUAGGCCACAAAAAAUAAUGCUUCUGAUUUUGUUGCCCUCUCCCUUGUGUAAUCAUUUAAGUUUGUGCCAAACUGGGAGCAGUUUGCACACCCCAGGUCCUCGCACUGCUGCAAAAGCAGCCUGCAUUUGGAGAACUCUCCCCUGGGGAUGCAGUUGAUGGAUUAGUUUGGACGUAGUUGUAAGGUGACAAAAAAAAUCCAUGUGGUUUUUACAACUGUAUCUGGCCCUGAAAGACUUGUGCUGAAGCAUGGCACUUCUGGAAGCAUCAUGGGUGCUGCAGUUAAGCUAGUUAGACAGAUAUGCAAUGGCAGGUAAUGGAAGAGACAGAGGUUUUUCUCUUUCUCAUUAGCCCUUUUCAUCUAAGUUUUUUUCUUUAUCUUACUUGUUGCUAUAUAAAAGACAUCUUAGUUAUCAACUCUGACACUGACUUCCAAUUAACCACCAUCUAAGAACAUUAUGGUGUCUACUCAGACAAUACAAAAGAUCAUCUAAGUUGAAAUAAGAAAACAAAAUUGUGCUGUUCCAGGUGGCUCCUCGCAUCAGCCAGCAUUUUUCUGUGCAGCUGUUUGAAUGCUAAGAGGGCUAAACUCUCUCUGAUGCUGGACACAAGGAAAAAUGCUGCAGUAUGUCCAUUCAUUUUAAUAGGGGCUGUGAACAUUUCUGCAUGCGUGGCUCCUGAUGUUGGAUUAUUAAUGUCUCUUUUGUAAUAAAACUAUUUCUAACAGUUGGCGGGAUUGGGGUCCUAGUUAGGGCUUGUCUUUAUUACUGCAAAAGCUGUGUUUUACCUCAGGGUACUGUGUAUUUCAGGUAGCCUGAGGUAAAAUUACAGUGAAGGAAAUGCACAAGAUAACUUUGCACAAGGGUACAGAUUUUGUUUCCACUGUGUUUUUAGCUUAGAAUAGCUGAUGCAUGCCAGUUACCCUGAGGUGAAAAGUAAGUUUUGCUAGCAGGAAGUUUGAGGUCUUAUUCCCAUUUGUUUUUCAGAACCUGAAAAAUGGUAGAAGUACUGCUUAUUGUGCUUGCUGCAAUUCUUUAUGUGUGCCUGUUUUGUAAUAUUUUGUGUUUAGUACUGAAAAUGAAUCAGUAAGAAAAAAAUACCAGGGGUACAACAUGAUGGAUGCAAAAACUUCACUGGUGAGCUGAGGCCCUGAAUGAAGAAUUACAAUUGGGUUUUAUCUCAAGGCAUAAAACCCCCUGAAAAAUGGGGGUUUGUAAUGGAAAGGCUAUUGCUGACACAACCUUAACUUGAACAUUGCCAACAGUCACACUAUCACUUUAUAUAGCAAUUUAAUGGCCAGCUUUUUGCCUUGCCAGUGGGAACACAGCCAGUUGAGGUGAUUGGGUUUGCACAUUAUAAAACAGCUCAUCCUUGGAAUGCACUGAUGUUAAAGCACUCGUUCUUCAUUAGCCAAAUUUAAAAUAAUGGUCUGAAAACAGAAGCAUGUGACUCACAUGUUCUAUUUGCACUUGUGCUGGAUUCAUAUAAGUCACCUCACCUUCUAAGUUUAAUGGACUUAAUGAACAGUUAAAGUGUUUUAGGCAGUCCAUAAUAGGUAACUGUGAUGGCAGUCAACAGCUGAAAUUGGCAUUUCGUACUUCUUAGUAACUCAUGUGCAGCAGAGUCUGGCCCACUGGAACAGCUUCCGUUUAUAGAUCAGGGACUGCUCCUCAGUUCAUUUUAUUUCACUGAUCCAGCUGAUCUAAACAACCUGUUUCCUUCUGAAAAGCAAUAAAUACAAUAAUAAUCAAAUUGCGCUUCUUUAGUCAUUGAUUUUUCUCCCCUGAACUAAAAUUGUCAGAAUCUGGAAUUUCAAGUCUGUAGGCAAUUUGGCUGUUUUCAAGAGCAUUUUUCCUUCCAUGUGAAGAAGAAAUAUUACUUUGGGACCGUCAGCUUGUUUUGUUUUUAUGAUAUGAAAUAUGUUGAUAUUAUACCACAUUGCGAAAUGAUUAAAAUGUAAAAAACACCCCAAUGAUUUACAUAAGUGUAUAACCAAUAUAAAAUAGAACAUAUAUAACAUAUCU